Rhincodon typus (whale shark) is the source of this 609-nucleotide long non-coding RNA. RefSeq lists it as uncharacterized. The record is from RefSeq and is a predicted model, not a curated record. Lineage: Eukaryota; Metazoa; Chordata; Chondrichthyes; Orectolobiformes; Rhincodontidae. The transcript is spliced from 4 exons.
UUUCAUGGGGUGAUACGGCGAACGGCGGGAGAGGAAAAGAACUGCCGAGGAAUAGCGAUACCUCCGAUACACCUUAUAAAGGUUUUGAAAAUCGAGAAAGAACCUAUCUCUGCCGAAUCUGGCUGAAGCCGUGCUAUAUUUUUGGGUCCCUCUGUCGCCAAGCGCGGGUUUUUGGUGGCCAUCUUGGUCGGGGAUCAAGCCGCAGUGGCGCGCAUGCGUGACUGUCCUUGGCCGGGAAGUCGGAACAUCUUUCACAUGCUCAAAAUUCCCAAAGCGAUUGACAAAGAUGGAUUUUGGAAGGAAGAAUGAGGUCAGGUGAUGAACUCAACCACAACAGGAAGCUGCAGGAUAGUGUCAAGUGGAGAUUCAGAAAUUUCUCUCACGGGAGUACAGCUCACAGCAGUGUUCAACUCCUUGGCUGUUUUCUUUCUGUCUACUUCUGUCAAUGAGAAGUUCAUUUCCAAACAUCAGAUGCUGCCAUACCUACUGAGCUUUUCCAGCAACUUUUGUUUUUGUUCCUGUCUUUAUUUAUUGAUAUACUUUGGUUGAAAUGUAAGGCAAGACCUCUUAUCACUUACAGUUAUGAGCAAAAUAAAUUUUUCCAAUCCA